GCUGGUACAGCAGUGUGAGAGACAUGGGCCUUCGGGGAACACUGCUGCUGCCUAUAGCACACUGCACUGCCAUAAAUAGCUAUACGAGCUAUUUUUGGAUUUCCCAUACUGCAGCAGACCUACACUGAACAGAGGUACACGACCCCAAACUGUCCAAGCCACAGGGAGAGCACGCUUAGGAUGUCAGCUUGCUCCGCUCCCCCGCUCAUCCCGUCUGUGGACCAGGGACGCUGUCCUCACUGCUUCCCUCUCGACCAGCAGCCUCAGACUGGGCCGGACAUUUGGGCCUUGAUGGAGAACCCUACAGAAGCCCAAGAGACACAAAACUGUCAGAAGCUGAGGAA
Long non-coding RNA from Siniperca chuatsi (mandarin fish), 344 nucleotides. RefSeq lists it as uncharacterized. The transcript has 2 exons. The record is from RefSeq and is a predicted model, not a curated record. Lineage: Eukaryota; Metazoa; Chordata; Actinopteri; Centrarchiformes; Sinipercidae.